This 391-nucleotide unclassified non-coding RNA is filed under the name soil metagenome. Its description in RNAcentral is "partial contains 5.8S ribosomal RNA, internal transcribed spacer 2, and large subunit ribosomal RNA". The stretch from base 1 to 122 matches the Rfam family "5.8S ribosomal RNA", at positions 35 to 154 of the family's 154-position model. The record is from RNAcentral.
GAUGAAGAACGCAGCGAAAUGCGAUACUUGGUGUGAAUUGCAGAAUCCCGUGAACCAUCGAGUCUUUGAACGCAAGUUGCGCCCGAAGCCAUUAGGCCGAGGGCACGCCUGCCUGGGCGUCACACGUCGUUGCCCCCCCAUCUACUCCUUCGGGAUUGCGGGGGGCGGAUGAUGGCCUCCCGUGCGCCUCGUCGCGCGGUUGGCAUAAAUGCCAAGUCCUCGGCGACACACGCCACGACAAUCGGUGGUUGCGAAACCUCGGUUGCCCGUCGUGUGCGGUCGUCGCGCAUCGAGGGCUCGAAAAAAUUGCCGGGCUCCGGCUCGGCUUUCGACGCGACCCCAGGUCAGGCGGGGUUACCCGCUGAAUUUAAGCAUAUCAAUAAGCGGAGGA